AUUGAACGCUGGCGGCAUGCCUUACACAUGCAAGUCGAACGGCAGCACGGGAGCAAUCCUGGUGGCGAGUGGCGAACGGGUGAGUAAUAUAUCGGAACGUGCCCAGUCGUGGGGGAUAACGUAGCGAAAGCUACGCUAAUACCGCAUACGAUCUAUGGAUGAAAGCGGGGGAUCGCAAGACCUCGCGCGAUUGGAGCGGCCGAUAUCAGAUUAGGUAGUUGGUGAGGUAAAGGCUCACCAAGCCGACGAUCUGUAGCUGGUCUGAGAGGACGACCAGCCACACUGGGACUGAGACACGGCCCAGACUCCUACGGGAGGCAGCAGUGGGGAAUUUUGGACAAUGGGCGCAAGCCUGAUCCAGCAAUGCCGCGUGCAGGAUGAAGGC
RNAcentral lists this ribosomal RNA (385 nucleotides) under uncultured bacterium. RNAcentral describes it as "bacterial SSU rRNA". It matches the Rfam family "Bacterial small subunit ribosomal RNA", at positions 30 to 415 of the family's 1533-position model. The record is from RNAcentral.